RNAcentral lists this unclassified non-coding RNA (437 nucleotides) under Hevea brasiliensis (rubber tree). Lineage: Eukaryota; Viridiplantae; Streptophyta; Magnoliopsida; Malpighiales; Euphorbiaceae. The record is from RNAcentral.
CUUUUUUUUCUUUUUUUUUUUCUUGACUUUUUGUUUGAAUUAGUUAAAAGAUAUAUGUAUAAGCUCACUAUUGCAAGCUUGCAGCUAACCUUGUUUUUUAAGGAGUUCUUGUGAUUUUGCUGCCGUACUUUAAUGUAGAGUACCGGUUUUCUUAUGGUUUGGUAGAAGUUUGUCCUCUACAAAUGCUGGGACAUGUAAUCACCAUCUCGUUGCUUAUCUAUGUGGUCGCAUGAAUAGUAAUUUUUUAUUUAUCUGGUUCUUUUUUUAAGCUACCAAUAACUUGCCUCAUCAUAUUGAUGGUGUUCACAGUUCACACUAUCUUUGCCCCGUUCAACACUUGUAUUUGUUUAGUAGGAUUAUCUGUUUAACAGUUGUUGAACAAUUUUUUCCCUUCUCCUUCUCUAUAUGUUGCUUAAUUGCAUGCUAAAAUUCUGAUG